UUAUUGGAGAGUUUGAUCCUGGCUCAGGAUGAACGCUGGCGGCGUGCCUAAUACAUGCAAGUCGAGCGAAUGGAUUAAGAGCUUGCUCUUAUGAAGUUAGCGGCGGACGGGUGAGUAACACGUGGGUAACCUGCCCAUAAGACUGGGAUAACUCCGGGAAACCGGGGCU
This 169-nucleotide ribosomal RNA is filed under the name Bacillus cereus. RNAcentral's name for it is "partial 16S ribosomal RNA". It matches the Rfam family "Bacterial small subunit ribosomal RNA", at positions 1 to 164 of the family's 1533-position model. The record is from RNAcentral. RNAcentral also lists the same sequence under 3 other names. Lineage: Bacteria; Bacillati; Bacillota; Bacilli; Caryophanales; Bacillaceae.